ACGUAGGAGGCGAGCGUUAUCCGGAUUCACUGGGCGUAAAGCGCGCGUAGGUGGCAUGGUAAGUCGGAUGUUAAAGACCCACGGCUCACCCGGGGGAAUGCGUCCGAUACUGCCGUGCUAGAGUGCGGGAGAGGAAAAUGGAAUUCCCGGUGUAGUGGUGAAAUGCGUAGAUAUCGGGAGGAACACCAGUGGCGCAGGCGGGUGCCUGGGCGACGACUGACACUGAGGGACGAAAGCGUGGGGAGCGAACAG
This 252-nucleotide ribosomal RNA is filed under the name uncultured prokaryote. RNAcentral describes it as "partial 16S ribosomal RNA". It matches the Rfam family "Bacterial small subunit ribosomal RNA", at positions 525 to 775 of the family's 1533-position model. The record is from RNAcentral.